GAUGAACGCUGGCGGCGUGCCUAACACAUGCAAGUCGAGCGGCAGCGAGGGGUGCUUGCACCCUGUCGGCGAGCGGCGGACGGCUGAGUAACGCGUGGGAACGUGCCCCAAAGUGAGGAAUACCUCCCGAAAAGGGUGCUAAUACCGGCUAGUAUCUUCUGCUGCAAGGGGUUUUUCCGCUUUGGGCGCGGGUCGCGUCGGGUUUGGCGGUUGGUGAGGUAAUGGCUCACCAAGCGGACGACCCGUAGCUGGGCUGGGAGGAUGACCAGCCAGACUGGAACUGAGACACGGUCCAGACUCCUACGGGAAGCAGCAGUGAGGAAUCUUCCACAAUGGGCGAAAGCCUGAUGGAGCAACGCCGCGUGCAGGACGAAGGCCUUCGGGUUGUAAACUGCUUUUAUAAGUGAGGAAUAUGACGGUAACUUAUGAAUAAGGAUCGGCUAACUACGUG
Molecule: ribosomal RNA, 451 nt
Filed under: uncultured bacterium
Lineage: Bacteria
Description: partial 16S ribosomal RNA
Rfam family: Bacterial small subunit ribosomal RNA
Source: RNAcentral